UUCCUUCAACACCCUCGUUUCUCACGUAUCCUUUUCUUUCUACUGGUAGUUAUAUAUGUUAUCAAUGUAGUGCAUUGUCUUUAGUUUUGAUUAGCAGACAGAUUAGGGGGUUGUGGAUUCUGGGAACUGCCGGUCGUGUUGAUUUCUGGUUUUCUUUUAGAUUCUACCUGUUGGGUUUUAGGCUUUCUGGUAAAUUAUUGGAUAAUUUCUUGCGAAUUCGAUUGUUGCUGCAACAUAUGAGGGACGUUUAUGUGAAAUUUCCAUAUUGCAUAUUGUUCAUCAAUUUUAUUUUUUAGAUAGAGAUAGGAAAGCAGGUUUCUGGAUAUUGAAUUCAUAUAUGCAUGGAUUGGAGAAAACAAUGUGAUUUUUUUUAAAUGCAAAAAAGGCCCAGGGGAAAAAACUAUUGCCUCUAUUAAUAAUGAAGAAAAACAUUUAAAUUGAACUGCAUAAUUUAUUUUUAAUUUAUUAUUAUAUCUUAAAUUAGAGUUUAAAACAGUAAAUAUAACUGAAAUUGAGUCUGAAAUAAAUCUGAAAAACCAAGUAACGAGAAAUGAAAGUGGAACUGAAAUCUUGAUCAUUCAUUAAUCAAUCAUCUGUUAUAUACAAGUCAGUGACUAACAGAAGCUAACUUUGAAAACUAACUAACAGAAUUUAAAACUAAUUAACAGAAUAAGUU
This 676-nucleotide unclassified non-coding RNA is filed under the name Hevea brasiliensis (rubber tree). The record is from RNAcentral. Lineage: Eukaryota; Viridiplantae; Streptophyta; Magnoliopsida; Malpighiales; Euphorbiaceae.